This 1446-nucleotide ribosomal RNA is filed under the name Escherichia coli. Its description in RNAcentral is "partial 23S ribosomal RNA". It matches the Rfam family "Bacterial large subunit ribosomal RNA", at positions 1367 to 2798 of the family's 2925-position model. Lineage: Bacteria; Pseudomonadati; Pseudomonadota; Gammaproteobacteria; Enterobacterales; Enterobacteriaceae. The record is from RNAcentral.
AAUCGGGGCAGGGUGAGUCGACCCCUAAGGCGAGGCCGAAAGGCGUAGUCGAUGGGAAACAGGUUAAUAUUCCUGUACUUGGUGUUACUGCGAAGGGGGGACGGAGAAGGCUAUGUUGGCCGGGCGACGGUUGUCCCGGUUUAAGCGUGUAGGCUGGUUUUCCAGGCAAAUCCGGAAAAUCAAGGCUGAGGCGUGAUGACGAGGCACUACGGUGCUGAAGCAACAAAUGCCCUGCUUCCAGGAAAAGCCUCUAAGCAUCAGGUAACAUCAAAUCGUACCCCAAACCGACACAGGUGGUCAGGUAGAGAAUACCAAGGCGCUUGAGAGAACUCGGGUGAAGGAACUAGGCAAAAUGGUGCCGUAACUUCGGGAGAAGGCACGCUGAUAUGUAGGUGAAGUCCCUCGCGGAUGGAGCUGAAAUCAGUCGAAGAUACCAGCUGGCUGCAACUGUUUAUUAAAAACACAGCACUGUGCAAACACGAAAGUGGACGUAUACGGUGUGACGCCUGCCCGGUGCCGGAAGGUUAAUUGAUGGGGUCAGCGCAAGCGAAGCUCUUGAUCGAAGCCCCGGUAAACGGCGGCCGUAACUAUAACGGUCCUAAGGUAGCGAAAUUCCUUGUCGGGUAAGUUCCGACCUGCACGAAUGGCGUAAUGAUGGCCAGGCUGUCUCCACCCGAGACUCAGUGAAAUUGAACUCGCUGUGAAGAUGCAGUGUACCCGCGGCAAGACGGAAAGACCCCGUGAACCUUUACUAUAGCUUGACACUGAACAUUGAGCCUUGAUGUGUAGGAUAGGUGGGAGGCUUAGAAGUGUGGACGCCAGUCUGCAUGGAGCCGACCUUGAAAUACCACCCUUUAAUGUUUGAUGUUCUAACGUUGACCCGUAAUCCGGGUUGCGGACAGUGUCUGGUGGGUAGUUUGACUGGGGCGGUCUCCUCCUAAAGAGUAACGGAGGAGCACGAAGGUUGGCUAAUCCUGGUCGGACAUCAGGAGGUUAGUGCAAUGGCAUAAGCCAGCUUGACUGCGAGCGUGACGGCGCGAGCAGGUGCGAAAGCAGGUCAUAGUGAUCCGGUGGUUCUGAAUGGAAGGGCCAUCGCUCAACGGAUAAAAGGUACUCCGGGGAUAACAGGCUGAUACCGCCCAAGAGUUCAUAUCGACGGCGGUGUUUGGCACCUCGAUGUCGGCUCAUCACAUCCUGGGGCUGAAGUAGGUCCCAAGGGUAUGGCUGUUCGCCAUUUAAAGUGGUACGCGAGCUGGGUUUAGAACGUCGUGAGACAGUUCGGUCCCUAUCUGCCGUGGGCGCUGGAGAACUGAGGGGGGCUGCUCCUAGUACGAGAGGACCGGAGUGGACGCAUCACUGGUGUUCGGGUUGUCAUGCCAAUGGCACUGCCCGGUAGCUAAAUGCGGAAGAGAUAAGUGCUGAAAGCAUCUAAGCACGAAACUUGCC